RNAcentral lists this ribosomal RNA (478 nucleotides) under uncultured bacterium. RNAcentral's name for it is "partial 16S ribosomal RNA". It matches the Rfam family "Bacterial small subunit ribosomal RNA", at positions 28 to 523 of the family's 1533-position model. The record is from RNAcentral.
GACGAACGCUGGCGGCGUGCUUAACACAUGCAAGUCGAACGGUAAGGCCCUUCGGGGUACACGAGUGGCGAACGGGUGAGUAACACGUGGGUGAUCUGCCCUGCACUUCGGGAUAAGCCUGGGAAACUGGGUCUAAUACCGGAUAGGACUCCUGGCUUCAUGGUUGGGGGUGGAAAGCUUUUGCGGUGUGGGAUGGGCCCGGGGGCUAUCAGCUUGUGGGUGGGGUAAUGGCCUACCAAGGCGACGAGGGGACGCCGGCCUGAGAGGGUGACCGGACACACUGGGCCUGAGUCACGGCCCAGACUCCUACGGGGGGCAGGAGUGGGGAAUUUUCAAAAAUGGGCGAAAGCCUGAUGCAGCGACGCCGCGUGAGGGAUGACGGCCUUCGGGUUGUAAACCUCUUUCAGCUAUGACGAAGCGCAAGUGACGGUAGUAGCAGAAAAAGGACCGGCCAACUACGUGCCAGCAGCCGCCGUAA